Molecule: ribosomal RNA, 473 nt
Filed under: uncultured bacterium
Lineage: Bacteria
Description: bacterial SSU rRNA
Rfam family: Bacterial small subunit ribosomal RNA
Source: RNAcentral
UGACCAGACUCCUACGGGAGGCAGCAGUGGGGAAUCUUCCGCAAUGGGCGAAAGCCUGACGGAGCAACGCCGCGUGAUCGAAUGAAGGCCUUCGGGUUGUAAAGAUCUGUUGACAGGGACGAAUAAGCAAUGCGAAUAGUUUUGUGUAUGACGGUACCUGUUUAGAAAGCUCCGGCUAACUACGUGCCAGCAGCCGCGGUAAUACGUAGGGAGCAAGCGUUGUCCGGAAUUACUGGGCGUAAAGGGCGCGUAGGUGGGCGCUUAAGUCAGGUGUGAAAACUCCGGGCUCAACCUGGAGACUGCACUUGAAACUGGGUGUCUUGAGGGCAGGAGAGGAAAGUGGAAUUCCUAGUGUAGCGGUGAAAUGCGUAGAUAUAUGGAGGAACACCGGUGGCGAAAGCGGCUCUCUGGCCUGUAACUGACACUGAGGCUCGAAAGCGUGGGGAGCAAACAGGAUUAGAUGCCCUCGUAUA